RNAcentral lists this ribosomal RNA (374 nucleotides) under uncultured bacterium. Its description in RNAcentral is "bacterial SSU rRNA". It matches the Rfam family "Bacterial small subunit ribosomal RNA", at positions 523 to 898 of the family's 1533-position model. The record is from RNAcentral.
AUACGGAGGACGCGAGCGUUAUCCGGAUUUAUUGGGUUUAAAGGGUGCGUAGGCGGGGAUUUAAGUCAGCGGUGAAAGUUUGAGGCUCAACCUUAAAAUUGCCGUUGAAACUGGGUUUCUUGAGUGUAUUCGAAGUAGGCGGAAUUCGUUGUGUAGCGGUGAAAUGCAUAGAUAUAACGAAGAACUCCAAUUGCGCAGGCAGCUUACUAAACUACAACUGACGCUGAAGCACGAAAGCGUGGGUAUCAAACAGGAUUAGAUACACUGGUAGUCCACGCAGUAAACGAUGAUUACUAGCUGUUUGUGAUAUUACAAUAAGUGGCUAAGCGAAAGCGAUAAGUAAUCCACCUGGGGAGUACGCCGGCAACGGUGAA